RNAcentral lists this ribosomal RNA (491 nucleotides) under uncultured bacterium. Its description in RNAcentral is "partial 16S ribosomal RNA". It matches the Rfam family "Bacterial small subunit ribosomal RNA", at positions 28 to 507 of the family's 1533-position model. The record is from RNAcentral.
GAUGAACGCUGGCUACAGGCUUAACACAUGCAAGUCGAGGGGAAACGACGGGGAAGCUUGCUUCCCCGGGCGUCGACCGGCGCACGGGUGAGUAACGCGUAUCCAACCUGCCUCUGACUGAGGGAUAACCCGUCGAAAGUCGGCCUAAUACCCCAUGGUAUCGUCUGCGGGCAUCCAACGACGAUUAAAGAUUUCAUCGGUCAGGGAUGGGGAUGCGUCUGAUUAGCUUGUUGGCGGGGUAACGGCCCACCAAGGCUACGAUCAGUAGGGGUUCUGAGAGGAAGGUCCCCCACAUUGGAACUGAGACACGGUCCAAACUCCUACGGGAGGCAGCAGUGAGGAAUAUUAGUCAAUGGGCGAGAGCCUGAACCAGCCAAGUAGCGUGCAGGAAGACGGCCCUAUGGGUUGUAAACUGCUUUUAUGCGGGGAUAAAGUGAGGGACGUGUCCCUCAUUGCAGGUACCGCAUGAAUAAGGACCGGCUAAUUCCGUG